UGCUUCUUUCAAGCCUCCUUCAUACAUUUUAAGUUACAAAAAGUAAAGAAAAAUGACACCUGUCCAAUUUUCUGCUUACAUCUUGAGAACAGUUCUGUAAGCAAGACAACUCUGGAAGUAUCUCAAUGUCUUUUUAAUCUUCUGCAAGUUUAAUUUAGUUUGCUUGAUGUAAAUGAACAAUUAAUUUGAAAAUGAAAAGCAUGAAGACGGGGGGGCAAUAAUUCAAGAGGUAGAAGAAGUAGAUGAGACAGAAGUAGAUUAGACAAAAUUUAAUGUGUUCAGCUUCACUUGUGCCGAUGUAAAAGGUGGCAUCUGUUUAUGGUUAAAGAGGAGCUAUCAUGUGGAAGCAGAGCAAGAACUAGAGAUCAGGGCUCACUCAUCUAUUGCAUAGUAGCCAGAUUUCUUCAUUAUAUUUAAUAAUGGCACAUUAAGCCCUUGGAUCUGUGAAGGGUCCCAAGAAAGAUGGCAAUGGCAAUUUUAAACCCAAAUUUUAGGCCUGUGGUUGUUCUUGCUGCAGAGCUUUCCUUUAGGAGACCUUGUCAGCUAGAACCAGUGUCUGUGUUAUGAAGUGACCCACAUUUCGGUGCUAAGCAGCCAUGCUUGGAUGCUGGGUGCAGGGGCCUGCUUCAGAUUCUUUAGAUGUGAAUGAUUUCUGAACAAUGCUCAUCCUGGUCCCCAAGAAAACAUAUCAGCAGCCAAAGAUAACUGGAGUGGAAUCUGGCUAAACUCAUCAUCUUCCACAUUGGUCCCCUUCCUCCUCCGAGCCUCACCCUGUCCCAGGGGUCUGCAAGGGUGUGUGUGGCAGGCAGCCAUCACCCAGGAAUCUCCCCUGUGCCUGGCAGAUUAAGACUGGGAGGGAUCUUUCCUGUUUUCUGGCCCUUUUCAGGACUGACAAAAGGAAGCCAGACAUAGCCUGGAACUUAUGCCAAAGUCUUCCAAGUCUUUGUUAACUGGCAGGAUAAUGGAUAUUGGCCAGUGGUGUCUGGGUGUAAAAGAAAAAGGAAAUCAGAUGGAGUCUCAAGAGUCUAACAGGAACUGCAGAUGGUUGGGGAUGAAUGUCCUGAAUUCUUUUUUUUUGGUAUAUUAAAUUUUAAUAAACGAUGUAACAAAGAGCAAUCCACAGCCACAUAGUUUAUGCUCAUGUCACCAGAACAGAAGCAUACACUCAUUUCUGCUCCCCACACAAGUGCUGUUAGUGGUUGCUUUGCUGUGUUAUUCCACCUUCAUACCCGACUUUGUUAUCCUGGCUGUAAGGAUGUACUGUUACCGGUGUAUCAGCUUGAUUAUCUCUACCUGUCCCUUCUUAAGACAUUGACCAUUUUCAGCCACAUCUGAUAGAAUGAGAGAAAUCUCGAAGUCAGGAAAUUCCUAAAAAAAUCAUUACUAUAGGUAGCCAUGUCUGUAUAGAGAAUAAGGUAGGAAGACCCUUCGAAGACAACAGAAAAUCUAUACUUAAGACACAAGUCUGUUGGAAACUGGGCUUCAACAGCACUUAGCAAAAAAUUAUUAUCUAAUACUACUAGGUUUUUCUGGAAUUGGCAACUGAAUUAUUUAGUAAUGAAAACUGCAUGUGUAUCUCUGGCUUCUGUGGGUUCAUGGUAUAGAAAACCGUAGGAGCAUCUGUAGGGAUCACAGCUGCCCAACUUUGUGUCAUGGUCCCUGUGUCUUAACAGGACAUAGAAAUUCCCAUUUAGCUGAGUAGAGAAGAAGACAUGGAGUGGCAAGUUUUAGCUUUUAUUGCUAAUACUUUGUAAAAUAACCUUUAUGGUCUGAAGAUUCAGACCUGUGCAGAUCUGUGUGACCUAAGAUUUAUUACACCACUACCAUAUUUGUACAUCUCACUCCAGUUCCUGGAUAUGAAAGAAAUGAAAGGUCCAAAAGUUCAGCUUUAUGUUAAUAGAUCCAGAUAUACCCAAUAUUUAACUUCCCUGGACAGAGGAACUGCAUCAAAGGCUGGCUUGUCCUGUUAUGUUGUGAAGGUGUCAGCACUGUGUGCUGCAAAGCUUCACAUAACCUUGGGGAAAAAAUAGAAAAAAAAGCCAAGUGUAUGCUCAAUGGAAAACAGAUGGAGUUUUCAUUAGAUAUUACUUUUAAUGAUCUGCUUUAAAAAUAAAGAUACACCAUUCUGAGCAGAAGAAGGCCUCCUAAUAGUUUUGUUUAGGUCCCAGGCUCAUUAUCUUAGCUACAGAUAAGCGAGACUGCAAGAUCUUUGUAUCGUUAGGAGUUCCAGUCAAACUUGCCUACCAUUAUUACAAUUCCAAACACAGCAAAACAAUUUUGGAGCCUUAACAAUAUUUUUCCCUAAGAUGUAUCUUUAUUUAAUGAUUUAGAGUUAUUAUUAUGGGCCUGGCAGUUGGUUGCUCAGUUUCUGUAGUAUUACCAUUUAAGCUAGAUCAGAAUAAAAAUCCAGGAAUAUUCAUUGCAGGGCAGACCUUUUGCUUCUUUGAGGGCCUGGUCUUCAGUCAGCUUUGGUGUGACUCCUCCACAUGGUCUUAGUGGCUGUGAGGGGUGACCCCAGCAGUCUAGAAAGCCUAAAGAUCCUUCCUAAAAAGAUGAACCCUGCAAUGUGUGCCUGUAGGUAUUAAAUCAACUUUUGACAAGUAAAGAACAAUGCAGUCCCAGGGUUUUAGGAAUAGAUGGUUGCUGCCAAACCACAAUAAAUGCUUUUGUCUGGAACUCAUGGAACAGUAACAUAGCAAUGGAGGGUGUACCCUUGUCUGUUCUUCCCUCUGAGCAAAUUCUCAGAGACAUGUUACCAGGAUUCAGAUAGAUUUCAUGGAACUAGUAGAGAAAUAGGCUUUCAUUUCCUUACAAAGGGAGGAAGACACAAUGGAACUCAGCAAAACAUAUGGCAUUUUUUUUGUUCCUGUCUGAGAGUUAUGCAAGCAAAACCCAUUGCCAUCCUCAGGCAGUACUCUCUAAAGUGAGACUCGUGAGAAGAUUUACGUUACGUUUCUUUUGUUAUGAGGUGACAAAAGUGCUUUACUUCCUCUGCAUAUGUAUAAAUACAACCCGUGUCUUCAACUCAUCUCCAGAUGGAGAGCAUGAAUCAGAAUCCAAGCUUCUCAAAGUUCAAGGAAGUUUGGAGCUGAUGUUCUAGUUCACUGUUACCUCUGUAGAAAAUACCCACAUAAUUUAAAAAUACCUUCAUGAAUAAAAAAGAAAUAAGCCUCUUGUUUUCAUAAAAGAAGAACUAGAAGAAUCCAGUCCAUUGACACUCUAUCACAAACUGUUAAUUAAGCACCAUUCUGAAACCAAGUAGCUUUUUCCCAACUCUGUUAGAAAACUUUGAUUUUCAGGGUAGAGUUAUUAAUGACUAGUUUGUUCACAUAUAUUAUUGUGCCAAAACUAUCUUUUAGUUUAGAUUAUACACAAAUAGAGCGCGAGCCUGAAUAUUAGGUUUCUCCUGCUUUUGUCUCUUUCGGGGUAAAAAAAAAAAAAAAAAAGAGAGCUUGAAUAUAAGGUCACCUUGUAUUCAAGAUCAAAUUAUUUCCUCCUGCAAUUCAAGGGUGGGGGGAUGGGGCGAGAAUAAGCAAAAGGAGCAGAUGAUAAGAGAGUAUUUUAUAUUUAGGUUUGUAUAACUUAGAAUGGUCCAGCCUUUUAGCAACAGCAUCCCUGCUCUGAUUUCUCCUGUUAGAGCCAAGUAAAUACUUGUUUCUUUUUUUGUGAUACAUUUGCAGAAAUAAAGCACGUGCCCUCUCUCCUGAUGUUGCUAGAGUGAAAAAACCAAACACUUCUGAUACAAUUGUUUCUUUCUUCUUCAGCAAUUCAGGUGGCCUUGUUCUGAUUCAGUGUAGCUUUCUGAGCAUGGGUGACCAAACCUGUACACCGUUUGUUCAAAGCCAGUUCCAUCAGGCGAGAGGCUUCCAGAUACUAUUGUUUGUCAAGAGGACUGAUUUUCUGAGGUGAAUUCUCAGCAAAUUCUAAGCAGGUGCCUUUACAAGAUAUCUAGUUAUAUAAACCUCAGUCAAUCAAGGGGGAAUCUUGUCCUAAUAACAUCGGAUGGGUCAAUGCAAAAAUGUACACCUGAACUGACAACAGGCCUGCUUCGUACAUGUGAAUUAACCCUCUGAACUGCUGGGAGUAGGAGCUCAUGGUAUCUUUUAUUCACAAGUGUGAUAGUGUCUGUGUGUGCAUGAAGAGUGCUGACUAAAGCUAUGUGUGUUAAAGUGUUUCUAGAAUCUCGAGAAAGGCAACUUCUCAAGAAUGUAAGUUGAUCUUUUGGUCAAUCUUCGGUGCACCACUGAAGUAUUCCACCAGUGAAGACUUCUGGAGAAGUGCCAGUUGGCAUAUCCUGGAGUCUUUGGAUUCUGCACCGUAUUUGAAUUAAUAUUUAAAAUGUUCCAAGCUCCUGAUUCCUGCCUCAAUCCCCCAAGCCAUGACAAUGCAGGUGAUGACAGAAAAGCCACUGGAACAAAUAACCACUGAAUUCCAGUAUGGACAAGGAACCACAGAAAGGGUCAAGGAACUUGGAGGCUUCCAAUUUGUGCACAGUUGAUGCAACGCACGGGCCUGGGGGUACAUGGCUGCUGACCUAGAAGGGGACAUGAACUGCUCACCCUGAGGGACUGGGGAUACAGGAUACAGAGAAGGCUACAUUUGUUUGGAGGAAUUGACAGACUUCACUGGUUCUCUGCCUUCCCUUUCACUUCUUGGAAAUGUCACCCCAAAAGCCUUUCCAAACUUCCAAGCACAGCGGUAAGGUCCUUAGUGGGGAAGCAUAAAGUAGAGUGCUUUUGCUGCAAAUUUCCUAUUACCUUCUGCUUGUAGAUUGUUCCUACUCCUAGUUAAACCUGUGGCUUGCCAACUGACUUCCGAGUAACCACAAGGCUGAUUGCCUCAUGUUCCCAGUUUCCUUUACACUUGUCUGGGCUGUUCUUUGCUCUCACAAGCAGAAGUAUGGACGGAGCCAUAGAACAGUCACUUACUAAGCAUAUCGCUUCAAGCAAACAAAUAGGACUGUGCCCCCCAGUCUGAGUAACGCCGUGACAUGGCGUUGUUUGAAGCUCUGCAGUCUUCCUGAUAGCACAGGAAAGGCUCACUGUAGAGGCCAGAGACAGAGACGUGUGUUCAUCUGGCAUUCUCCUACCCCUCUUCUAACUGGGUGUCUCUGUUCACCUGUUUCAUAAAUCAUUAAUAAUGAUACUUCUGAAUAAAUACUUUCUCUGUA
Tyto alba (common barn owl) is the source of this 5170-nucleotide long non-coding RNA. RefSeq lists it as uncharacterized. The transcript is spliced from 2 exons. The record is from RefSeq and is a predicted model, not a curated record. NCBI's taxonomy places the organism in Eukaryota, Metazoa, Chordata, Aves, Strigiformes, Tytonidae.